CAGCCGCCACGGUAAUACGAAGGGUGCAAGCGUUAAUCGGAAUUACUGGGCGUAAAGCGUGCGUAGGCGGUGAGUUAAGUCUGCUGUGAAAUCCCCGGGCUCAACCUGGGAAUGGCAGUGGAUACUGGCUCGCUAGAGUGUGUCAGAGGAUGGUGGAAUUCCCGGUGUAGCGGUGAAAUGCGUAGAGAUCGGGAGGAACAUCAGUGGCGAAGGCGGCCAUCUGGGACAACACUGACGCUGAAGCACGAAAGCGUGGGGAGCAAACAGGAUUAGAUACCCCAGUAGUCCCUGUCUCUUAUAA
Molecule: ribosomal RNA, 301 nt
Filed under: uncultured bacterium
Lineage: Bacteria
Description: partial 16S ribosomal RNA
Rfam family: Bacterial small subunit ribosomal RNA
Source: RNAcentral